Molecule: non-coding RNA, 1847 nt
Organism: Xyrichtys novacula (pearly razorfish)
Lineage: Eukaryota; Metazoa; Chordata; Actinopteri; Labriformes; Labridae
Source: the annotation of a GenBank genome assembly
CAAAAACGAAACAGAUGACUGGAGCGGUGCGAGGAGUGGAAUCUGCCAGAGAGGUGAGCUCAAAAAGAUAAUCAGAGAUGGACUCUGUUUGAAGUGAUAAACCAGCAGGAGGUGAGGAGGACAUGCCAGAAACAAGAAUCCUGGUUUUUAUCCCGAAAGUGUCUGGAAAAAUCGAGGCUGGAGACAGCUGAGAGAGGUGCAAAGACGACAGUAUAUUCAUGACAAUUGACAGUCGCUGUCUUUGGAUUAACCACGUAGGUUAAAGUGGAAAACAUUAUUGCUUGUUGGGCAGCAUUUUGAGAUACUCAUGAGAUUCCACCUGGACUAAAAAGUGGUAUGGAGCAGCCAAUUUACGCUUAAAUUUGGGGGGCAUCUGAAAGGGAAAAGCACAGUCAAUUACCACCACACUCUGCGAAGUCCAAAAUGUGCAGUUUUCAUGCAACUGUUAAGUUCUAUGUAAUGUUAAUCUCACUAGCUACCAUUUUGUUGGCUAAUGACCAAUAACCACCACACUGAGCAAAGUCAGCAAUGUCCAGUUUUCGUGCAGCAGUGUAGCUCUUUCAACAAUCAUCUGAUUUUACCAAGUAAAGGUAUAAAAUCCAAAUGCCGGUUCAUAGUCCAGUUAAUAGUUGUGAAGUUUAUGCCUAACUCUCUCCACACACCAAGCGUGAGUGAAAUCUUUCACGCAAAUGAAUCACGUUAAGUCAAUGCAAAGACACGAUUCAACACUUGUACUACUCAGACGUCACUAAGGAUGUGAAUUGGGCAUGAGCUGAAAAUGACUCAACUUGAGCAGAUAUUGGUAAGAAAACGUAAGGUUGUUUACUGGUGUCUAAAAUGGAGGACAAACUGAUCGUGUUGGUGUGUAAAACCAGGGAUUAAGUUAGCGAGAUUAGUUGUGAGGAAUACUAAGUAUGUGAUUUGAAUUUAAGAUGAAAACAGGCAUGCUAGAAAUGAGACAUUAGAAAAAGUUGGACAAAAGUGAACUUAGAGGUUCAAGAAAGACUCUCAAAACUUGCAGAAGAACUUCUUUUUGAUGUGCCAGAGCACGGGUUAAAACUUAAUUUAGACUAGGACUUGGACUUUAUUGUCCCCAUGGGAAAAUUCUUUUCACAGCACUGUCUCCAUUCCACAAAAUCGAAGUAAUGCUUAAGUAACUUUUCCCACCAAAAUCCUUAUGGAUAAAGCUUUGAAAUCCAUCUGUCUCUAAAGAAAAAACAGGCAACACUGCCUACUAGAAACAUCUGAAGCUCUGUCAGUGUUUAGCAAACAAUAAAAAUGCAUUUGGAUUAAAUUUACUCAAAGCUUUUGUGUUUAAACAUCACUGACAGUUUUUUGUUUUUCAAGGAGGAGGCGAGUAAUGAAACAGAAAUCAGAUUUAGAUCCAGACGGAGCACCUGCACUUGAAAAAGAAGUGCUGAAUGAAAGAGGAGCGAAAAGGGAAUCGGUGAAGUAUCAGGAAAAGGUCUGGAAACUCAAGGUUUCAUAAUUCAGGGAUUCAAGGCUGUGGAGAGAUGUUUUAUAUGUAGAAAAGAAUGAACUUCUUAAAAGUUUCCCUACAGUUCACUUUGAGAUAUUCAAUCUGAGGUAGACGGAUUAAAAAGGAAUAAAAUUUCACCGUCACGUUUGUCACAGACUCAAAAGUUCACCUGGUCAAUGCAGAGUUCAGCCUUUAUGUACACCCAUCCUGCCCGGUGAGACGGAAAAUGAGGAAUGAUCGUUUUUCACUGCCCUGCUGAAGAGGAAAGAGGGCAAUAAGACGAGGGAGGGAGCUGCAGGAAACGCCUGACCGCAGCCAUGUCCUCCCCCUGAUUUAUCCCCCUCUCCUGUCUGCAGAGCUAUUACGG